This 1967-nucleotide long non-coding RNA is filed under the name Numida meleagris (helmeted guineafowl). RNAcentral's name for it is "lncRNA (ENSNMEG00000020078.1)". Lineage: Eukaryota; Metazoa; Chordata; Aves; Galliformes; Numididae. The record is from RNAcentral.
UGCAUUUCAGGCCAAAAGGAUGAACAAAAUGAAAUCUUUGUUUCAAUACUCAUCUUUAAAGCUAAUACCUGCCGUUCAGGUUAGUUUCUGAUAGAUUUCUGCUCAUAGCAGAGUUGUGUUGAAAAGAUGAUUUUGUAUAAAUGACACUUUAGUUGUAUCUUCUUGUUUUUGAAUUGCUUUGCUCUGUACCUCUGCCAGUUCUCAGAGAUCUUUUUGUUUUCCAGUGUGGCUCUUGCACAGCAGAUCUUAGCUCAUUGCUUUGUCAGCGUACCGGGUGACUGCGUUGUGACAUGUUGCAGCAUGUUAUUUGCAAGAUUUCAUUGGUUCAAUCUUAGGCACUUAAAAAGUGCUUCUGGGUGUAACUGGUUCACCUGCUGGUAAUUACACAGGUUUUGAGUGUGGCUGGCAAAAGGAUCAAGUCUGCAUGGGCUCAAGUUCAAGAUCCCUGGCAGAGUGUUGUCUUGUUCCACAUUGCCGGAGGGACACGUGGCUGAUUCGUCCAUACCACUACUAAGUGUUGGAGAAGGCACAUAAUACUCCAGAGCUUCAAAAUCAGAAGUAAAAUCAUCUGGACAGUUGCCACCUGCCUUCCUAAAUAGGAGGAAAGUGGGAUUAUUGGUGCCUGCCUCAUUUGCUUCACCAAAAUGAGAUAGGGCAUGCAGGAGAGAAGGGAUAUUAUUGCAAGUGGAAGCUACAAUGAUUUCUCAGGGGACACAAUUUUGCUUAUUCAUACCUUUUACUGUGGCAAAAAUGGAGUAUUUUCCUUACCAAAAACCAGCAGCAUAACGCCUAUCAGACACUUGCCUCAAGGAAAUCUUAUCAAAAGUCUGUUCACAGUAAGUGAAAUGAAAAACUUGCUAAAGGUAGCUUUAAACUGCUUUGUAUCUAUUUGUGGCUCAAGAACAAGCAGCCUUAACAAGAGAACUAAUCUCGACAGUCUGGCUUUUAGCAGCAGCUGUUUGCUCUUAAGUAAGAGUAUUGGAGGAAAUAACUUGCUGUAAAGCAGUUUGAGGUUGAGCUGCUUCCUGACCACUGCAUACCAUUGCAUCAUACCUGUGUAUUCUGUUCCUCACUCCCUACUCCCAUUAAAUAUUUACUGUAGUGCAUAGCAAAUUGGAUGCGUGAAUAACACAAUCUAAAAGAUUAUCUGAGUUGUAAAUGAAGAUGUGUCCUCACGUUACUAUGAAUGUUUUAGUAUUCCCAGUGUAGAAAUAGGAGCCUAAAUAACUCAAAAUGUAAGAAAGAGUAAGUGAUUAUGCUGUUUUUCAUUGUACUGGGUUUUGAGCUGCAUGCAUUUCAUGGUGCCUGUAGGCCUAAGUGUUAACUUGUAAUGCAAUUCUAAGUUUAAAAAAAAAAAAACACAACAAAAGUACAUUUUAUAUCUAGUAACAGUUAUUCAUUGUCUUGCUUUUCUACGUACUGAGAUAAAUUGUAUGCGUGCAGAGUAAUUGUGAGGUAUUAAAUAUACGGAUGUUAGAGGAAAUUGUAAGGUUAGAACUUUGGCCGGGAUACCUUCUUUAUCUAAAGGUUGAAAUUUGAAGGAAUAUGUUCAGUUCUUAAACAAUAUUUUCUUUCAGAAGCAUAAUGAAAAAUGUGUAACCGUGGGGGGAAAAAAAUCUAUAAGACUCAAAAUGAGAAGAAAAUCUAGUUUAUUCUAAUUGUUUGUAUUUUGUAGAGGUACAUUGUAGUGGAAGAGAUGUGUUUCUUAAUGAAAUUGUGCAUUUAAUAAGAGGCCUCAUAUUGCAUUUCCAGUACAGUACAACAUACUGCCUACAUAUUUAUCAUUCUCCCAUAUAAAAGAAUAAUCAAUACCUGAAUUUGAUUUAAGAUGGAGCUUUGUUUUGGGAAAAUUCCAUUUUGGUCACUGGCAUUACAUUUAUCUUUCUGCUGCCUUCUGCCAGAAGAUAAUUAGCACACUAUGGGAACUUGUGAAUAAAAUAAGCGAGAUGCUGUAACUGUCUUAUGUU